AGACCCGUAGCUCAGCUGGUUAGAGCGCUGUCUUGACAUGGCAGAGGUCGUUGGUUCAAGUCCAAUCGGGUCUACCA
RNAcentral lists this transfer RNA (77 nucleotides) under bacterium. Its description in RNAcentral is "tRNA-Val". It matches the Rfam family "tRNA". Rfam says of the family: Transfer RNA (tRNA) molecules are approximately 80 nucleotides in length. Their secondary structure includes four short double-helical elements and three loops (D, anti-codon, and T loops). Further hydrogen bonds mediate the characteristic L-shaped molecular structure. tRNAs have two regions of fundamental functional importance: the anti-codon, which is responsible for specific mRNA codon recognition, and the 3' end, to which the tRNAs corresponding amino acid is attached (by aminoacyl-tRNA synthetases). tRNAs cope with the degeneracy of the genetic code in two manners: having more than one tRNA (with a specific anti-codon) for a particular amino acid; and 'wobble' base-pairing, i.e. permitting non-standard base-pairing at the 3rd anti-codon position. RNAcentral also lists the same sequence under 5 other names. The record is from RNAcentral.